This 250-nucleotide ribosomal RNA is filed under the name uncultured bacterium. Its description in RNAcentral is "partial 16S ribosomal RNA". It matches the Rfam family "Bacterial small subunit ribosomal RNA", at positions 57 to 305 of the family's 1533-position model. The record is from RNAcentral.
GCAAGUCGAACGAUGAAGCUGGAGCUUGCUCCGGUGGAUUCGUGCCGAACGGGUGAGUAACACGUUAGCAAUCUGCCCUUGACUCUAGGAUAACUUAGGGAAACUGUCGCUAAUACCGGAUACUUUCCUCGGUGGGCAUCCACUGGGGAAGAAAGAAUUUCGGUCAAGGAUGAGCUCGCGGCCUAUCAGCUAGUUGGUGAGGUAAUGGCUCACCAAGGCGACGACGGGUAGCCGGCCUGAGAGGGUGACC